This is a long non-coding RNA of Papaver somniferum (opium poppy), 829 nucleotides long. RefSeq lists it as uncharacterized. The transcript has 5 exons. The record is from RefSeq and is a predicted model, not a curated record. NCBI's taxonomy places the organism in Eukaryota, Viridiplantae, Streptophyta, Magnoliopsida, Ranunculales, Papaveraceae.
UCGAACGAUAGAGAAACGCCAACUCCAAAAUCGAUUCUUAGUUAAUUCGAUUUUUCUUAGGGUUUCAAUUCAACUUUUCUUUUAUUUCUUCAUUGUCCCUAAAUCGAACAGAGAAAACCCAAAACAUUUUUUUUCGUCGUCGCUAAAUCGAAAAACACAAAAAACCCCAAAAUCAAUAAUACUUAGGGUUUCGAUUGAAAUCUUGGUUGAAACAUUUCACACCCAACCUAAAUUUAAUACUUAGGGUUUCAACUGAAAUCUCGGUAACUUUGUUUGUGCAAAUUCCAGUGAUUUGAAGAUUUGUCCCAUUUUCUGAAAUCUUGGUAAACUAAUACAUGAACAAUUCGUAAUUUGGGUUGACUGCUCAAUUGCUCUAUUCUCACCCGGGUUAGAAAGAAGGAAAAAUUGGUAUUUGGGGUUGACUGCUCAAUUGCUUUAUUCUCACCCGGGUUAUAAAGAAGGUUGGAUAAAAUCCAGUUAGACGACCAACUUUUUAUAACGAAAAUCGAAAAAAUAGCUUGCGAGACAGGUGCAAAACAACUUACAACGUACGAAGAAUGUUAUCAGAUAAAAGAAUGGAAGGGCAUGCGCGAUGUUAUACUAGUAUACAUAAUAAAAAGGCGUUAAAAGAUUUGUUUAGUUCCAUAUUUAUAUGGUAUCGCGUCGUGGCUAGUUUAGGGCCUAUAAAAGUUAUUUGAGGCCUACCAUUUUCUUCACCCACCUAGACAAAGGGGAUAAAGGGUGUCUAAAAUAGAUAAAGUACUAAGUUACCCUCACUAUUAAAAUUCAAUCCCAAAUUCUAUCCUUUUAAAUUUGAAACCUAUUCAAA